GGGCCCGUGGCGGAACUGGCAGACGCAGCGGACUUAAAAUCCGCGGAAGGGCAACCUUCAUGGGGGUUCGAAUCCCUCCGGGCCCA
Molecule: transfer RNA, 86 nt
Filed under: Planctomycetota bacterium
Lineage: Bacteria; Pseudomonadati; Planctomycetota
Also listed under: 1 other name
Description: tRNA-Leu
Rfam family: tRNA
About the family: Transfer RNA (tRNA) molecules are approximately 80 nucleotides in length. Their secondary structure includes four short double-helical elements and three loops (D, anti-codon, and T loops).
Source: RNAcentral